UUGAUUCAUUCAGUAAUGAUUCCACUCAGACAUGCCAAAAGUUCAAAAAAUACAGAGAGUUUUGGGUCCCCGGCGGGCGCCUGGUUCCGGGGGCCAGGGCCUGGAGAGGCGCUGGCGUCCCGGGGCGAAAGACCCGCCGAAGCAACGGUGUAAAGGUAUAAGUUCACAGGGGGUUUGGGAGUUGUAAACUCGGUAAUGAUCCCUCCGCUGGUUCACCAACGGAGA
Molecule: unclassified non-coding RNA, 225 nt
Filed under: uncultured fungus
Lineage: Eukaryota; Fungi
Description: sequence contains ITS1
Source: RNAcentral